Molecule: unclassified non-coding RNA, 187 nt
Filed under: fungal sp.
Lineage: Eukaryota; Fungi
Also listed under: 1 other name
Description: partial internal transcribed spacer region
Rfam family: Eukaryotic small subunit ribosomal RNA (bases 1-46)
Source: RNAcentral
AAGUCGUAACAAGGUUUCCGUAGGUGAACCUGCGGAAGGAUCAUUAAAAAAAUGAUGAAUUUCGGGGGGCGUUUAUCGCUCUCCGUGUAUUCAACCAACCCGCUCUUGUAUUUGGAUCAACCAAAAAUUAACAAAAAUACUUAUAUAUAAUAAAAAUAAACUUUCAACAACGGAUCUCUUGGCUCUC